Molecule: long non-coding RNA, 1099 nt
Organism: Oncorhynchus keta (chum salmon)
Lineage: Eukaryota; Metazoa; Chordata; Actinopteri; Salmoniformes; Salmonidae
Exons: 3
Source: RefSeq, a predicted model, not a curated record
UGCUGGAGUCCAAGUCAAACCAAGAUUCUUUAUUUCUGAGCUCAGAGAGAAUAACAGAGUUACACAGCGCAGUGGAGACAGUCUGAAUUCCUGAAGCAUUGAGUGAUUGGCACAUAUCUUUAUAGUUUCCUGUUCCUGGGCGGGACUUUAUUCAUACAAGGACACAGGUGCAAAUUGGUUUGCAACACAGGAUGAUAGUCCCAAGAACAGGAGCUUAUAAUAGGACAGUUUCACAAGGUUAGUCACAUACUCAGUUAUGUGGACACACAAACAAUUAACAUUUUCCAUUACAGAGUCUGAACAUUUUCAUGUCAUUAAAUCAUCAGUGGGCUACAAUGCAAAUGUCAACAAUGGAACUAAUGCAUCACAUCCAAAUAUCACUUGAUUAUCUGUAGUGCUGGAGGAAUGACACACCCAGAUAAACACACAAAGAGUUUUAAAAAAGGACCAUUUAAACACAUGGAAUCUGAUCUACUCUAUAUUCAAGCUGUAAACACAUUGUCAGUCAACAAUAUAAGACAACGGGAGCACUGUGUAUGUUCUCUGAUGAAUUGUAAGUCAAUGUGAUGUGAAAUAUCAAUAUACACGCUAAGAGAAGUAAUUUCUCUUAAAUGACUGUUAUGAGUAAUAUGUUUUCCCAGUCUGAGAUUUUCUAAGCCUUCUCCUCUGUGUGCAGUGUAAUGUUUUCUUUCAGGCUUCCUAAAUGGGCAAAAGCUUUGCACCCUGGGAGGAGUGGUAAGGCUUCUGCCCUGUGUGUAUUCUCUCAUGUCGUUUCAGCUCCCCCAAACGGACGAAACACUUUCCACAUUGGGAGCAGUGGUAAGGCUUCUCUCCUGUGUGUAUUCUCUCGUGUUGUUUCAGCUCCCCCAACCGGGUGAAACACUUUCCACAUUGGGAGCAGUGGUAAGGCUUCUCUCCUGUGUGUAUUCUCUCAUGUUGUUUCAGCUCCCCGAACGGACGAAACACUUUCCACAUUGGGAGCAGUGGUAAGGCUUCUCUCCUGUGUGUAUUCUCUCAUGAGCUUUCAGUUGUGCUUUCUGGUUAAAACUCUUUCCACACUGGGAGCAGUGGUGUCGUCUUGCUGGUUUGGACGUCCCUG